GGAGUUAGCCGGUGCUUCUUCUGUGAGUGAUGUCCUUCCUGCCGGCUAUUAACCCGCAGGCCUUCUUCCUCACUGAAAGUGCUUUACAACCCGAAGGCCUUCUUCACACACGCGGCAUGGCUGGAUCAGGGUUGCCCCCAUUGUCCAAUAUUCCCCACUGCUGCCUCCCGUAGGAGUCUGGGCCGUGUCUCAGUCCCAGUGUGGCUGAUCAUCCUCUCAGACCAGCUACGGAUCGUCGCCUUGGUGAGCCGUUACCUCACCAACCAGCUAAUCCGACAUAGGCUCAUCCGAUAGCGCGAGGCCCGAAGGUCCCCCGCUUUCCCCCGUAGGGCGUAUGCGGUAUUAGCCUGGGUUUCCCCAGGUUAUCCCCCACUACCGGGCAGAUUCCUAUGCAUUACUCACCCGUCCGCCGCUCGCCACCAGGGAGCAAGCUCCCCGUGCUGCCGCUCGACUUGCAUGUGUUAGGCCUGCCGCCAGCGUUCAAUCUGAGCCAAGAUCAAAUUCUGA
RNAcentral lists this ribosomal RNA (507 nucleotides) under uncultured bacterium. Its description in RNAcentral is "partial 16S ribosomal RNA". The record is from RNAcentral.